Molecule: long non-coding RNA, 453 nt
Organism: Mya arenaria
Lineage: Eukaryota; Metazoa; Mollusca; Bivalvia; Myida; Myidae
Exons: 5
Source: RefSeq, a predicted model, not a curated record
CUUUGAUGAUGCACUCAGUCGCUGCCUUGCAUAUUUUCCUGCCAUAUCUGGCACAUGGUUGCAUCUAUACAAAAUGUGAACGCAAGAUCUUCUAGACGAAAAUAUUCCUAAAUCGGAGUUGCACCAAUGGGUGUGUAUGGCCUGGUAUGAAUCAAGCUUCAACACGGCUGCUGUACAUCAGAAUUCGCCGAACUCGGUGGACCAUGGCCUAUUUCAGUUUAACAGUUAUUAGAAUUGCGAUCACAAAAAUGGUAAACCUGCAAAGAAUGGCUGUGGGCAUCCCUGCUCAGACUAUAAAAACACUGAUUUGACUGAUGACGUGGCUUGCCUAAAAAACUCAAGAGAGAAUAAAAAGGACGGGUUACACCAACAAUUGCCAGAGUAAAACGAGUAGUUACCUAUCGGAAUGCGGCAUUACCAGAGUAAAACGAGCAGUUACCUAUUGGAAUGCGG